Molecule: transfer RNA, 71 nt
Filed under: Bos taurus (domestic cattle)
Lineage: Eukaryota; Metazoa; Chordata; Mammalia; Artiodactyla; Bovidae
Also listed under: 2 other names
Rfam family: tRNA
About the family: Transfer RNA (tRNA) molecules are approximately 80 nucleotides in length. Their secondary structure includes four short double-helical elements and three loops (D, anti-codon, and T loops). Further hydrogen bonds mediate the characteristic L-shaped molecular structure. tRNAs have two regions of fundamental functional importance: the anti-codon, which is responsible for specific mRNA codon recognition, and the 3' end, to which the tRNAs corresponding amino acid is attached (by aminoacyl-tRNA synthetases). tRNAs cope with the degeneracy of the genetic code in two manners: having more than one tRNA (with a specific anti-codon) for a particular amino acid; and 'wobble' base-pairing, i.e. permitting non-standard base-pairing at the 3rd anti-codon position.
Source: Rfam by way of RNAcentral
UCCCUGAUAGCGCAGUGGCUAAGACUCUGCUCCCAAUGCAGGGGCCCCAGGUUCAAUCCCUGGUCAGGGAA